AGAGUUUGAUCCUGGCUCAGGACGAACGCUGGCGGCGUGCUUAACACAUGCAAGUCGAACGCGGUCCAUCCGGUGGCAACACUGGUGAAGACCGAGUGGCGAACGGGUGAGUAACACGUGAGCAAUCUGCCCCGAAGACCGGGAUAAGCCUGGGAAACCGGGUCUAAUACCGGAUACCCCCACCGGGCCGCAUGAGCCGG
Molecule: ribosomal RNA, 200 nt
Filed under: uncultured bacterium
Lineage: Bacteria
Description: partial 16S ribosomal RNA
Rfam family: Bacterial small subunit ribosomal RNA
Source: RNAcentral